Molecule: ribosomal RNA, 478 nt
Filed under: uncultured bacterium
Lineage: Bacteria
Description: partial 16S ribosomal RNA
Rfam family: Bacterial small subunit ribosomal RNA
Source: RNAcentral
GACGAACGCUGGCGGCGUGCUUAACACAUGCAAGUCGAACGGUAAGGCCCUUCGGGGUACACGAGUGGCGAACGGGUGAGUAACACGUGGGUGAUCUGCCCUGCACUUCGGGAUAAGCCUGGGAAACUGGGUCUAAUACCGGAUAGGACCACUGCCUGCAUGGGUGGUGGUGGAAAGCUUUUGCGGUGUGGGAUGGGCCCGCGGCCUAUCAGCUUGUUGGUGGGGUGAUGGCCUACCAAGGCGACGACGGGUAGCCGGCCUGAGAGGGUGACCAGCCACAGUGGGACUGAGAUACGGCCCAGACUCCUACGGGAGGCAGCAGUGGGGAAUAUUGCACAAUGGGCGCAAGCCUGAUGCAGCGACGCCGCGUGAGGGAUGACGGCCUUCGGGUUGUAAACCUCUUUCAGCACCGACGAAGCGCAAGUGACGGUAGGUGCAGAAGAAGGACCGGCCAACUACGUGCCAGCAGCCGCGGUAA